Cydia pomonella (codling moth) is the source of this 2927-nucleotide long non-coding RNA. RefSeq lists it as uncharacterized. The transcript has 2 exons. The record is from RefSeq and is a predicted model, not a curated record. NCBI's taxonomy places the organism in Eukaryota, Metazoa, Arthropoda, Insecta, Lepidoptera, Tortricidae.
AGUACGUUUAGUGUACAAUACUGUAAAUCUACUGUGGUGUACCUACCUAAUUAGUAGUAGUAAAACACCUUAUUGAACUGAAUAAUUUAUAGUUAAAGAACUGUUUUUUCAAAAAAUUUAAGGACUGUAGUUUCGGAGACAAGAAGACUUCAGCACAGAAGUGCCGCGACAGUAUUUCACUUGUGAGAUAAAUUACCAGUCCCUCUCUAAUGAAUACCGCUUCAAAAAUACGGGUAGUCUAUUUCGCGGGCGAUAUCCUGGCGCGCCACUCCUGUUCUAGGCCGGAAGGUGGGGGAAUGGUUAUUUUUUACCCAUAUCUUAAAUAACUUCUAAACUAUUUAUCUUUAAUUUAUAAAGAGAUUCUCUUAAUGAGUCCUUUCAUUCAAUAUUUUAACACGAUAUUGUUUGCAUAACUUUUUUUUUUAUUUUUAAGAGUAAUUUAUAUACGUUUCAUGGCCGUCUUUGGGUUACAGACUUAGGUACAGUCAGCGUCAAAUACUUUGUAGCAGUCAAAGUGGCCAAAUAGUUCGGUACACCAUACUAAAUAUAUGGUGUACCGAACUAUUUGGCUACUUUGUUUGCUACAAAGUAUUUGACGCUGACUGUACUUCAAUAUCUGUACCAAAUGUUAACUGUAGUUAUUAACUGGUUAUAACCCGAAACUAUGUAUACAUAGUUUCGGGACAAAUAGGCUACAGCUGGACAGUUAGACGUAUUUAACCGAGGUACAGAAGCCUAAAAAUCGGUCAAAUGCCUCUCGGGUGAUGGAUAGUUUUCGUAUCUUCAUAAGUGUCGCACGAUAUCAGAAAGACGGCAGGACCGACCUGGAAUAGAACCGCUGCAUACAGAACAACAUGGAAAUCCAUGAAAGAGGCAUAUCUUCAGCAGUGGACGCAUAUAUUCUGAGAAGAAGAGAGAAUUUUAGCGUCGUAAAAGCCUACAAAUCUGUGCUUUUAAUUCUUUUGAAUCUCUACAAAAAAUGUUUUCUACUCAACAAUAGAUGCCGCUACAUGUCAUAAUUGUACUUAAAUAUUUACAUUUAAGAACGACGUUAUUGUGACGUUAAUGCCGUCGGUCUUACUCCAUCAUUUUAUUAAAACGUAUAUAGAUAAGUUAUAACAAAUUGUCUAUGCAUGAACAAAAAUAGAGUUGUCACCUUCUAUCAAAAAUGACAUUUUCAAUCAUUAGUGAACAAUUUGCUAAUACAGUCAUGAUAUUUUGAAUGUAUAAAUGAAAAAAAUUAAAUACCCAACCACGACUUCGUAAACAUUGUGCUAUUUAUAUUAUAACUAUAAUAAUAAUCUUGAAACGCUGUGGCUACGUUCAAGAAGUCUAGCUAAAAAUUCCGUCACUCUUCCCAUCAUCCCUGAGAAUGUUAGGCUAUAUUGAAAUUAGUUGAUGUAGAACUAGCAUGUUGACGCUGACAAUAAGAGACCGACUGAGAAUAUCGUUGAGCGCGGCGUGCCUGUUGUGUUCAAAGGCGUCGUGGCGAGGACCUCGGGUGGUCGAUCACGUCGGCGUCGACAUCAUUACCGCAGUGGCACCGAGUCGCAGGCAGAUUGCAAAGCACUAAGUGUGAUAUUCGAAGAGAGUUUCAGUGUGUACAGACGGAAGAGCGUGUAACCAGACAGCAGAUUCCUUGCUGCUAAGCGUCUGGCGUAUGCAAAACCUGUGCUGCGUGAUAUAAAUGUCGGAGAACGGCUGAAUUGUGCCAUCAAUCGCUUUUAACAAGUGUAUAAUCACGCUAUCUUUUACAAAUAGAGCAAAAUCAAUCUUCAGACGAAAAGAAGCGGGAGAAGAUGGCGUUAGUGGUGGUUCUUGGGAUCAAAUCAAACCCACUGGUUUGCUUAGGCUAAGUAAUGUAACGUGUACUAUGAUUUUGUAAUCAGUAUUGUCCAGGAAAGACUGUGAGUUGAAUAUCGUUUUUCAUUGAAAGCCCUCGUCAUACACGAUUGAAGUUUUUAUUGAAACAUUCGUCGCCAGUGGUUUGUUUUAAGUCCAGCGGGAUUUUGUUAUAUAUGCUUUUCAUUUCUCAUUCUCUGGAAGUGGGCCGUUGUUCUAAAAAGUGUACAGAAAAUGAUAAGUUUCUGCUUUAGAGCACUGUACUUUUUAAGUUCAUCUUUUUGUACGAUAAGCAAUUAAAAUUUGGUUUUAAAUGGAUUUGUGUCUCUCCAUUCCAUAAAUACCGAUAUUUUUACCGAAAUUGUUAAUUGAAAGUACGCUACUGAAGUUUAUUAUUAUUAUUAUUUAAACUUUAUACCUACCUACGUAUUAUUUUAGUUUAUACCUACUUAGCAGUAUUUUGUGAAAUGCACAAGUCUUUUAAUUUCCUCAAAUAUGAAAUGAAAAUUAAAGUGUUUAACUCGGGUGAAAAGCACCAAUUCAAAUGGGUGCCUUUCAUCUCUUGGCUCACAAUAUACUAUUUAUAAAUUGUAUAUACAGAUGUCAAUCACAAGGAAAAAACAGCAUGUGGUUAUUUAUUUAAUCUAUUGAAUCGUCUAUCGUACUGGUGUGGGACGCAACGUGUGUCGACACCUUUCCACAGUCCCACAUUGGGGCAGCCCGCAAUCAGGCCGGCGCUGCGGUUGACCAGGCCCAGAUGCUCAAGCGCCGCAAAUACUCGGCCUUACUCAAAGUCCAUGAGUUUGCGCGGCGCUCUCGGUUGAGACUUUUGGUCCCUGGUCAGCCGACAUGAAAGCAUUUAUGAGGGCACUGUUGGCGCGGCUUGUCGACACAACAGGGGACCCCAGGACUGGCGCGUACCUCUCUAAACGUAUCUUCCUUGCGAUACAGAGAGGUAACGCCGCCAGUUUCAUGGGGUCCAUGCCGCAGGCAGAUUUAUUGGACGGGGUGUUCUCUUUGUGAUUGGGUUUUUUUAUUAUUUUGUAGGUAAGUAUAUUUUUAUUUUUCCUUUGUUAUUUUCUACA